Molecule: ribosomal RNA, 486 nt
Filed under: uncultured bacterium
Lineage: Bacteria
Description: partial 16S ribosomal RNA
Rfam family: Bacterial small subunit ribosomal RNA
Source: RNAcentral
GACGAACGCUGGCGGCGUGCUUAACACAUGCAAGUCGAACGCUGAAGACCUGGCUUUUGUUGGGUUGGAUGAGUGGCGAACGGGUGAGUAACACGUGUGUCACCUGCCCUCUUCUUUGGGAUAACGCCCGGAAACGGGUGCUAAUACUGGAUAUUCACUGAUCUUCGCAUGGGGGUUGGUGGAAAGGUUUGUUCUGGUGGGGGAUGGGCUCGCGGCCUCUCAGCUUGUUGGUGGGGUCUUGGCCUACCAUGGCCUUGACGGGUAGCCGGCCUGGGAGGGUGACCGGUCACGUUGGGACUGAGAUACGGCACAGACUCCUACGGGAGACAGCAGUGGGGAAUAUUGCACAGUGGGCUAGAGCCAGAUGCAGCGGCGCCGCGUGGGGGAGGGAGGCCUUCGGGUUGUAAACCUCUUUCGCUCAUGGUCAAGCCGCAACUGUGGGUUGUGGUGAGGGUAGUGGGUAAAGAAGCGCCGGCUAACUACGUG